This 30-nucleotide non-coding RNA is filed under the name Mus musculus (house mouse). Lineage: Eukaryota; Metazoa; Chordata; Mammalia; Rodentia; Muridae. The record is from RNAcentral.
UAGUGUUUUGGAAAGCUGGGACCUUUCUGU